AAGAUGAGAGCCAGAGCAAAGGUCAGAGGAUCCAUCAGAGACUCAAACCAGAACCAGAACCAGAACCCAGCUGUGUGUCCUUUAAAAGUGACAGGUCAAAGGGUGAGGUCAUUAACUUUAAAUCUCCUGGAUCUCCACCAUCAGAGAGCUUAUCAGGCUGUUUGGUCUCAGAGGAAGGCUGUGCUUCU
Long non-coding RNA from Xiphophorus maculatus (southern platyfish), 188 nucleotides. RefSeq lists it as uncharacterized. The transcript is spliced from 3 exons. Lineage: Eukaryota; Metazoa; Chordata; Actinopteri; Cyprinodontiformes; Poeciliidae. The record is from RefSeq and is a predicted model, not a curated record.